GAUGAACGCUGGCGGCGUGCCUAAUACAUGCAAGUCGAGCGAACAGACGAGGAGCUUGCUCCUCUGACGUUAGCGGCGGACGGGUGAGUAACACGUGGAUAACCUACCUAUAAGACUGGGAUAACUUCGGGAAACCGGAGCUAAUACCGGAUAAUAUAUUGAACCGCAUGGUUCAAUAGUGAAAGACGGUUUUGCUGUCACUUAUAGAUGGAUCCGCGCCGCAUUAGCUAGUUGGUAAGGUAACGGCUUACCAAGGCGACGAUGCGUAGCCGACCUGGGAGCGUGAUCGGCCACACUCGAACUGAGACACGGUCCAGACUCCUACGGGCGGCAGCCGUAGGGAAUCUUCCGCAAUGGGCGAAGGCCUGAUGAAGCAACGCCGCGUGAGUGAUGAAGGUCUUCGGAUCGUAAGACUCUGUUAUUAGGGAAGAAGAAAUGUGUAAGUAACUAUGCACGUCUUGACGGUACCUAAUCAGAAAGCCCCGGCUAACUACGUG
RNAcentral lists this ribosomal RNA (497 nucleotides) under uncultured bacterium. RNAcentral's name for it is "partial 16S ribosomal RNA". It matches the Rfam family "Bacterial small subunit ribosomal RNA", at positions 28 to 507 of the family's 1533-position model. The record is from RNAcentral.